AAGUCGUAACAAGGUUUCCGUAGGUGAACCUGCGGAAGGAUCAUUAUACGUUUAUCCAACGUACCAACCAACGCGCUCUCGUUUAACCAGAGUCUGUGCACGAGCUUUCUUAGGCCAUCCAAAAUAUGGUGGGAACCGCAAGGUUCUGUUUGGGUGGUCGAUCACGAACUCGCGCACUGCAACCAUUUUUUUUUUAAUAUAUUUAAAACGCAUUGUAAUCACUUGUACUAAUUACGAAAAACAUCUUUGUUUUUUUUAUUACAUAUUUUUUUUGACUAAAAACAGUAACAAAAAAAAGAGAGGUGGAAUUAAGACAUUAAUUGCUGAACAACUCUUAGCAACGGAUAUCUUGGUUCUC
This 358-nucleotide unclassified non-coding RNA is filed under the name fungal sp. RNAcentral describes it as "partial internal transcribed spacer region". The stretch from base 1 to 46 matches the Rfam family "Eukaryotic small subunit ribosomal RNA", at positions 1786 to 1831 of the family's 1831-position model. The record is from RNAcentral. Lineage: Eukaryota; Fungi.